UGGGCUCCCGACGCUCGCGGGAGCAGCGGGAAACCAGGUUCCGGGAGUGGGGCGAGGACGCCCCUGCCAAGCCCCUUUUACGUCCCGGCGGUCGCGAGGAGGUCCCCCGGGCGCGAAGAAGACGCCAGCCCACCCCAGCCGCCGGGGAGAUCGCCCAGGCCGCGCUCAGCCCCGCCCCUGGCUCUGCCCCCGCCGCGGAGCGGAACCCUCCAAGUCGCGGCCUGAGGAGGAAGGAAAAGGGGGCGGCCCGGGAGAGCCGCUGCGAAAUCAGCAACGGGCGGGAACCAGGUUGCCUCCCUGAGUCCCUUCUCUCCCCGGCCGGCUGCCAACCACAGCCAAGGCCAGAGAAACAGGCCCUUCUGCCGCGGCCACCUGGGCGCCUUGGACCCGCCCUCCGGACUCGCCCCCGCCCCUGCCGCGGAGUGGAACGUUUGGAACCCUGAGGGGCACAGCUCCUCUAGCAAUUCCGAUGUGAAAAGAAGAUGGAUGGAGAAGCACUGAUUCAGCCAUGGCUGACAUGUCGGAGUUGGAAUGGACAGUGCCCGGACCUCACAGUCUCAGAGAACUGGAGAAGAGUAAAGCUGAAGAGGGCAUCAUCUGGUUACAAAUGACAAGUCCAGGGCUCCAGAACUCAGGCCAUGUAGAGAGGCCACAUGGGAACUGAGGUUCCUAGUCCUCAGCUUCCACUGAGCUCCCAGCCAACAGCCAGCAAUAACUUGCCAGAUGUGUGCACAGGCCAUCCUGGAAGCAGAGGAUCCAGCCCUCAGCCAAGAUGCCCCAGUUGAUUCCAUGUGAACUAGGAAUGAGCCCUCCUGCUGAGCUCUGCCCAAAUUACAGAUCUGUGAGCAAACUAAAUGACAGUUGUAUUAAGCUACACAGAAAUAGAUAACUGGAAUACCACCCAUGUCUUUCUUUCCAAACUUAGUUAACUGAGUCUGAGCUAAAGAGAAUUCACACUGUAUAUCUUAUAUUGAAUACCCACUAUAUCUGGGGCAUGAUUGCUAAUAAUCCUCACAAUAGCCCUACAAUAGGAAACGAUCAUCCUCAUUUCACAGAUGGAGAGUUUAAUGGUAAGCCUGAACUCAGACUCAGACUUGUUUGACUUGAGAGCCCAUACCUCUUUCACUAAGCCAUACCAUCUCCAUUCACUCUAUGCUGUCUGGCCACCUGAGAGGCUGUCUGUAAGUCUAUCUCCUUAUUAACCCAUCAUUCCUGCUACUUCCAUGAUAAUCGGCAAGGCUGAAUGAUAGCUCUCAGUUCUAUGGGGUCUUUCCAGGAGAAGGGCCAAAGAGGAGUGGUUGAUCACAAAGUCAUCGGCACAAAAAGAUGGUGGCCAAGCUACAGUCCUGCAUGGCACAUGAGCCAGAUGAUCAAGUAAUGAAAGCUAUGCUAAGAAAUGUGGGCUUUAUCUUGUGGAGAAGGAGAUGCAGUAGAGGCUUUUUAAGGUACAUUUCAGAACAAUUAUUAUUUUUAUAUUUAUUAUAUAUUAUUUAUAUAUAUAAAACCACAAAUUAUAUGCUACAUAUA
This 1527-nucleotide long non-coding RNA is filed under the name Homo sapiens (human). Its description in RNAcentral is "HSALNT0407084". The record is from RNAcentral. Lineage: Eukaryota; Metazoa; Chordata; Mammalia; Primates; Hominidae.